CGAAUUGUAGCUUUUGAGAGAGCGUUUUAUUUACACUAAAAAGGAUGACUGUGCGAUUCAGUUCAAUUUGA
RNAcentral lists this transfer RNA (71 nucleotides) under Pseudolestes mirabilis. RNAcentral's name for it is "tRNA-Val". The record is from RNAcentral. Lineage: Eukaryota; Metazoa; Arthropoda; Insecta; Odonata; Pseudolestidae.